CUCUAGCCCUGAUUGAAACGGCAUCCUUUUUGCUUUUCGCAAAAAGAUAUAGUGGAAAGCAGGAAAUAGC
Small RNA from Polaribacter atrinae, 70 nucleotides. It matches the Rfam family "Flavo-1 RNA". The record is from Rfam. Lineage: Bacteria; Pseudomonadati; Bacteroidota; Flavobacteriia; Flavobacteriales; Flavobacteriaceae.